GACGAACGCUGGCGGCGUGCUUAACACAUGCAAGUCGAACGGAAAGGCCCAGCUUGCUGGGUACUCGAGUGGCGAACGGGUGAGUAACACGUGGGUGAUCUGCCCUGCACUCUGGGAUAAGCCUGGGAAACUGGGUCUAAUACCGGAUAUGACCGACUGUCGCAUGGUGGUUGGUGGAAAGCUUUUGCGGUGUGGGAUGGGCCCGCGGCCUAUCAGCUUGUUGGUGGGGUAAUGGCCUACCAAGGCGACGACGGGUAGCCGACCUGAGAGGGUGAUCGGCCACACUGGGACUGAGACACGGCCCAGACUCCUACGGGAGGCAGCGGUGGGGAAUAUUGCACAAUGGGCGCAAGCCUGAUGCAGCGACGCCGCGUGUGGGAUGACGGCCUUCGGGUUGUAAACCUCUUUCACCAGGGACGAAGCGUGAGUGACGGUACCUGGAGAAGAAGCACCGGCCAACUACGU
Molecule: ribosomal RNA, 465 nt
Filed under: uncultured bacterium
Lineage: Bacteria
Description: partial 16S ribosomal RNA
Rfam family: Bacterial small subunit ribosomal RNA
Source: RNAcentral